ACUCUAGAUGUCAGCGAUUUCUGGGACAAAAUGAACACCAUUGAACUUAAGAAAGAAGAAAUCCUGCUGUGAGUCAUUUAAAUUUUUUUUAUAAGCAACAUUUUUUUUUUUGAAUUUUGAAAGAGGACGAAGUCUUGUUGAUCCAGAACAAAAAGAAUCGAACCUGUCCCAGGAUAAAACCAUCGAAACCUGCCCUAAUAAUUUGUAUUUUCUUUAUCUCUUCCAUAAUGGCAUACCAUUGCAUCUGAUUUUCUUUAAGCCCCACACCACUGAAUUUCUUUUGUAAUGAAUAAGAAAAGAAACUAAAGAAAAGGACUUACUCUUCUAAUCAAAUAUCCUAUGGGGAUAAGCUGUCAUUAUUGAGAAUUUAAAGAAAGUUUCAUGCUGCAUACCAACUGCUCAAUAAAAUGCUUAAUUUAGGUUUCUGGAUUUUUUAUCCAAUCUUUUUAUAUAAGUUCAACUAUUUUUUUGGCAAAUAUAAAUGAGUUAUUCAUAAAGGUUUUUGUUGUAAGUAAGGUGUUUAACAAAACUCUUGAAUCAACUUUGUUUCAAUUGUAUUAUAAAUUGUUUUGCAGGACCAUGGAAGUAUCAAAUCUGUUAUCUUUAUUCAUUUGAUUGUUCAUAAAUUGAGAGGAUAAAAAGCUAUUAAUUUUUUUUAAUCAUGUCUUCUGAUUAUGGUUUUGGUUAAUUAUUUAUAUGUUGAUAAUAAAUUCUGCUAGAAUUUUACUGUUUUAUUUUGAUAAAAUUUUAAUACUUAUAUGUUGAUAAUGUAUUCUAAUAGAAUUUUACUGUUGCAUUCUAACAGAAUUUGUGAUAGAAAUGGCUUGAAGAAUGGCUUGAAGAACUGAUGGGAAAGGUUUGAAGAAUGAAUUAAAGAAUGACCACACUCAGUGUUUAAGAAUGUUGUUAUUUUUUAAGAAUCACACUUGUUAUUCUUUCAGAAUAUUGUUAUUAUUCAAAGAAUCACAAUUAUUUAUUUGGUAUAUUAUUAGUUCAAGAAUCUAUUUUGUGUAUUCUUUUCAGAAUGUAUUUAGUAGUUU
This 1040-nucleotide long non-coding RNA is filed under the name Lactuca sativa (garden lettuce). RNAcentral describes it as "long non-coding RNA (LSAT_LNC006954)". Lineage: Eukaryota; Viridiplantae; Streptophyta; Magnoliopsida; Asterales; Asteraceae. The record is from RNAcentral.